RNAcentral lists this transfer RNA (35 nucleotides) under Krugiodendron ferreum. RNAcentral describes it as "transfer RNA-Phe". The record is from RNAcentral. Lineage: Eukaryota; Viridiplantae; Streptophyta; Magnoliopsida; Rosales; Rhamnaceae.
CGGGAUAGCUCAGCUGGUAGAGCAGAGACUGAAUA